This 63-nucleotide transfer RNA is filed under the name Amphigerontia montivaga. Its description in RNAcentral is "tRNA-Cys". The record is from RNAcentral. Lineage: Eukaryota; Metazoa; Arthropoda; Insecta; Psocodea; Psocidae.
AAUUUUAUAGUUUAAUAAGAAUACCAAAUUGCAAGUUUGAAGGUACAAUAAAAGUUAAAAUUU